GCACUGCUGAUGUGUCUCAGAAUAGGACGAAACGGCCGUCCAAUGC
Non-coding RNA from Schistosoma curassoni, 46 nucleotides. Lineage: Eukaryota; Metazoa; Platyhelminthes; Trematoda; Strigeidida; Schistosomatidae. The record is from Rfam.